RNAcentral lists this ribosomal RNA (163 nucleotides) under Boesenbergia siphonantha. Its description in RNAcentral is "5.8S ribosomal RNA". It matches the Rfam family "5.8S ribosomal RNA". From Rfam's summary of the family: 5.8S ribosomal RNA (5.8S rRNA) is a component of the large subunit of the eukaryotic ribosome. The record is from RNAcentral. Lineage: Eukaryota; Viridiplantae; Streptophyta; Magnoliopsida; Zingiberales; Zingiberaceae.
AAAUGACUCUCGGCAAUGGAUAUCUCGGCUCUUGCAUCGAUGAAGAACGUAGUGAAAUGCGAUACUUGGUGUGAAUUGCAGAAUCUCGUGAACCAUUGAGUCUUUGAACGCAAGUUGUGCCCGAGGCCUUGUGGUCGAGGGCACGCCUGCUUGGGCGCCAUGG